GGUCACUAUAAGCAAAGAUGGCAGAAACUAUGUUAAAUAUAAACCAGUGAUAAAAAAUAAAGGCCCUUUUUGAGCCAUCCUUGACAAUAAUGUCCAUUAACAUUAAAAGUAUUUUACCCAACAAAGAAGAGAUAUUGAUAGAACUAUGGAGAGAUCAUUCCUGUUACGUGAUAUGCCUAUAAGAAAAUAAAAUGGCUUUAAGUCAGAAGUAGCUUUAAGUUCUCUAGAGUAUGGUAGAGUAGUUUUUGUGAAACCCAAUAUACAAAUGACUUUUUCAGAAUUAACAGAAACUAAUGAUAUAAAAGUAUAAACGGUAAACCUGGGAAAAUACUCAGUAACCUUUGUGUAUAAACUCCCAAAUUCUACCUUUGCAUCUAACCAGCCAAAGAACUUUAAUAACCACAAAACAAAAAUAAUGUUGGGAAUUCCAACUGUCAUAGUCAAAAUUGGGGAUACAACAAGACAGAUAACCAUGACCAUGAAUUAGUAGACCUGAUAAAGAAAAAUAAAAUUACUC
Cinara cedri is the source of this 517-nucleotide non-coding RNA. The record is from the annotation of a GenBank genome assembly. NCBI's taxonomy places the organism in Eukaryota, Metazoa, Arthropoda, Insecta, Hemiptera, Aphididae.